GUAUAGUUCAGUUUGGUUAGAACAAUGCACAUAGGUUAUGGGUUCGAUUCCCAUUCUGCACACCA
RNAcentral lists this transfer RNA (65 nucleotides) under Bacteroidota bacterium. RNAcentral's name for it is "Bacteroidetes bacterium tRNA-OTHER". It matches the Rfam family "tRNA". From Rfam's summary of the family: Transfer RNA (tRNA) molecules are approximately 80 nucleotides in length. Their secondary structure includes four short double-helical elements and three loops (D, anti-codon, and T loops). The record is from RNAcentral. Lineage: Bacteria; Pseudomonadati; Bacteroidota.